GACGAACGCUGGCGGCGUGCUUAACACAUGCAAGUCGAACGGAAAGGCCCUGCUUUUGUGGGGUGCUCGAGUGGCGAACGGGUGAGUAACACGUGAGUAACCUGCCCUUGACUUUGGGAUAACUUCAGGAAACUGGGGCUAAUACCGGAUAGGAGCUCCUGCUGCAUGGUGGGGGUUGGAUAGUUUCGGCGGUUGGGGAUGGACUCGCGGCUUAUCAGCUUGUUGGUGGGGUAGUGGCUUACCAAGGCUUUGACGGGUAGCCGGCCUGGGAGGGUGACCGGCCACAUUGGGACUGAGAUACGGCCCAGACUCCUACGGGAGGCAGCGGUGGGGAAGAUUGCACAAUGGGCGGAAGCCUGAUGCAGCAACGCCGCGUGCGGGAUGACGGCCUUCGGGUUGUAAACCGCUUUCGCCUGUGACGAAGCGUGAGUGACGGUAAUGGGUAAAGAAGCACCGGCUAACUACGUG
Molecule: ribosomal RNA, 468 nt
Filed under: uncultured bacterium
Lineage: Bacteria
Description: partial 16S ribosomal RNA
Rfam family: Bacterial small subunit ribosomal RNA
Source: RNAcentral